Choloepus didactylus (southern two-toed sloth) is the source of this 107-nucleotide small nuclear RNA. The record is from RefSeq and is a predicted model, not a curated record. Lineage: Eukaryota; Metazoa; Chordata; Mammalia; Pilosa; Megalonychidae.
GUGUUUGCUUUGGCGGCACAUAUACUAAAAUUGGAAUGAUACAGAGAAGAUUAGCACGGCCCCUGCGCAAGGAUGACAUGUAAAUUCAAAAUGUUUUCCAUAUUUUC